Molecule: ribosomal RNA, 252 nt
Filed under: uncultured prokaryote
Description: partial 16S ribosomal RNA
Rfam family: Bacterial small subunit ribosomal RNA
Source: RNAcentral
ACGUAGGAGGCAAGCGUUAUCCGGAGUUACUGGGCGUAAAGGGCGUGCAGGCGGUUGGCUAAGGUCGUUGGGAAAGCGCCCAGGCUUAACCGGGCGAGGACAAUGAAGACUGGUCAGCUAGAGGACGGUAGAGGGGUGUGGAAUUCCUGGUGUAGCGGUGGAAUGCGCAGAUAUCAGGAGGAACACCCAUAGCGAAGGCAGCUUGCUGGGACGUUACUGACGCUAAGGCGCGAAAGCGUGGGGAGCGAACAG